GAAUAUUGGACAAUGGGGGCAACCCUGAUCCAGCCAUGCCGCGUGUGUGAAGAAGGCCUUUUGGUUGUAAAGCACUUUAAGCAGUGAAGAAGACUCCAUGGUUAAUACCCAUGGACGAUGACAUUAGCUGCAGAAAACGACCGGGCUAACUCGGGGCAACACGCCGCGGUAAUACAGAGGGGGCAAGCGUUAAUCGGAAUUACUGGGCGUAAAGCGAGCGUAGGUGGCUUGAUAAGUCAGAUGUGAAAUCCCCGGGCUUAACCUGGGAACUGCAUCUGAUACUGUUAGGCUAGAAUAGGUGAGAGGAAGGUAGAAUUCCAGGUGUAGCGGUGAAAUGCGUAGAGAUCUGGAGGAAUACCGAUGGCGAAGGCAGCCUUCUGGCAUCAUAUUGACACUGAGGUUCGAAAGCGUGGGUAGCAAAC
Molecule: ribosomal RNA, 422 nt
Filed under: uncultured bacterium
Lineage: Bacteria
Description: partial 16S ribosomal RNA
Rfam family: Bacterial small subunit ribosomal RNA
Source: RNAcentral